This 459-nucleotide ribosomal RNA is filed under the name uncultured bacterium. RNAcentral's name for it is "partial 16S ribosomal RNA". It matches the Rfam family "Bacterial small subunit ribosomal RNA", at positions 338 to 795 of the family's 1533-position model. The record is from RNAcentral.
CCUACGGGUGGCAGCAGUGAGGAAUAUUGGUCAAUGGGCGGGAGCCUGAACCAGCCAAGCCGCGUGAGGGAAGAAGGUACAGCGUAUCGUAAACCUCUUUUGUCAGGGCACAAAGGCGGGGACUAGUCCCCUGAUGAGGGUACCUGAAGAAAAAGCAUCGGCUAACUCCGUGCCAGCAGCCGCGGUAAUACGGAGGAUGCGAGCGUUAUACGGAUUUAUUGGGUUUAAAGGGUGCGCAGGGGGCCUGUUAAGUCAGCGGUAAAAGCCCGGGGCUCAACCCCGGCGAGCCGUUGACACUGGCGGGCUGGAGUUGGAGAGAAGUACGCGGAAUGCGCGGUGUAGCGGUGAAAUGCGUAGAUAUCGCGCAGAACCCCGAUUGCGAAGGCAGCUUACUAAACUAUAACUGACACUGAAGCACGAAAGCGUGGGGAUCAAACAGGAUUAGAUACCCCUGUAGUC